UUUCCUCCCAGACUGGGUUUAGGUAGCCCCCAGAUCUAACAGCCAGCAGAUCCAGAACUCCACUUGUGGCACAUCAGCCACCAUUCUGUACAGUGUGGUAAUGGUGGUGAGACUG
This is a long non-coding RNA of Ochotona curzoniae (black-lipped pika), 115 nucleotides long. RefSeq lists it as uncharacterized. The record is from RefSeq and is a predicted model, not a curated record. The transcript has 3 exons. Lineage: Eukaryota; Metazoa; Chordata; Mammalia; Lagomorpha; Ochotonidae.